Abrus precatorius (Indian licorice) is the source of this 3130-nucleotide RNA transcript. It is a transcript of the gene named serine/arginine-rich splicing factor SR30-like, with no coding region annotated. NCBI's taxonomy places the organism in Eukaryota, Viridiplantae, Streptophyta, Magnoliopsida, Fabales, Fabaceae. The transcript has 15 exons. The record is from RefSeq and is a predicted model, not a curated record.
UGCACGUGUCACCACAAAAGUUAUGCACUUUCGUGUGCUCUUAUUCUCCCUCAGCUCAAGACCGAAGAUUCUCAACUUCCAUUCGUUUCUCUCAUCAUCUUCUCAUCUCAGGGGGAAAAAUGAGUGGCCGUUCAAGUCGCACAAUUUAUGUUGGAAAUCUUCCUGGCGAUAUUCGCUUGAGAGAAGUAGAGGAUCUUUUCUACAAGUAUGGUCCUAUUGUUGACAUUGAUUUGAAGAUCCCCCCAAGACCACCAGGUUAUGCUUUUGUUGAGUAUGAGGAUGCUCGUGAUGCUGAAGAUGCAAUUCACUAUCGAGAUGGUUACAAUUUCGACGGUUUUCGGUUACGAGUUGAACUUGCUCAUGGUGGGCGGGGAUAUUCAUCAUCAGUAGACCGUUACAGUAGUUAUAGUGGUAGCAGUGGUAGCCGUGGAGUUUCCAGGCGUUCAGACUAUCGUGUUCUGGUCACUGGAUUACCUCCUUCUGCUUCAUGGCAAGACCUGAAAGAUCACAUGCGUAAAGCUGGUGAUGUGUGUUUUUCACAAGUCUUUCGAGAGCGUGGUGGCAUGACUGGGAUAGUGGAUUAUACCAAUUAUGAUGAUAUGAAAUAUGCUAUCAAGAAACUUGAUGACUCAGAGUUCCGAAAUGCCUUUUCUCGGGCAUACAUACGGGUGAGGGAAUAUGAUCGCGGUUAUUCUAGAAGUCCCAGUCGUGAUUCAAGGAGGAGCUAUUCUAGAAGUCCCAGCCAGAGUCCAUAUUUGUCACGAAGUAGAAGCCGCAGCCGUAGUUACAGCUAUAGUGACAGGAGCAGAAGUUUGUCUCCAAAAGCAAAGCGUUAUCAGCGUUCAAUAUCUCCUUCAAGAGAGGGGGGAGACUGCUUGCACACUCUGGUUGUCCUGCACCAACAGGAACAAGACAAUUUGUUCUGGUGAAUUCUGUGAUGUUUAUUACUACUUUUCACUCAAUCUUUAUGCUUUUUUUGUCUAUUUAAGUUUUGGUUGAGAAAGGAGAGCUUGGUUUUGUUGUUUACGAUUCUAUUAUUAGUAUUGUUUAUUCAUGGUUGAUUACAUCAUUUCUCUCGUAAACAAAUCAACUUUUGUCAACCUUUAUCCAAGCCAUGACUUUUUAUUUGUUUUGGUUUUCAUGUAUCUGCCUGGCAGUAUUCAAGCCACGCUCUAUCUUUUAGCUUAUUUUUAAAUUACGUUGGACAGGCCAAACGUCAUUUUAGCUUUUGAUAUUGAGUAUUCCUUCUCCCAGUUCUCAAAAAAGGAGAGAUGGACACUUAGUUUGUUAAUUAUACAUGCAAAAAUAGUUUAUUUCUUAUGGUCUUCAAUUUCUGGCUUGGGUCAUUGUGUUUUGAGUAGCAGAGGGUCACUGAGGUAUAACUAUUGGGUAAUUAUUUUACACUAUAAUAGCAUGUGUGGUGAUUUUGUACCCACACCUUAGGGGCUCAUAUGACUGGGAAGAUGCUGAGAUGAGCCAGGAACUAUGAUAACAGUUAAGAUUAUUCAUAUUUAGUUACUGUACCUUUGUUCUCCGAGCUUCAACUAUGUCUCUACAUUUUUUGAAGUUUCUCUUUGCUAUCCACAUCCGUACAUAGGUGUAGAGGAUUUCUAUGGAAGUGCUCUUUUCCUUCCAUAUUUCUCUUGAUUCAGUAGGAUCUCUGCUUGUUGCAUUUAUGAGCUUGUUAUUUCUUGAUUGAAAUGAAAUUCAUUGGAACAUUUUAUAAAGAUAUAAUGGCAUCCCUUUGUUCCAAUUUUAAUUUCUCAUCACUUAUGGGAUUGUUUGGAUCCACGUCCUAUUGUAGCAUUCAGUUUCUUUUGUGGAUGGCUUGGAUUUUUUUAUGUUUUGCUUUUCUAGAAUAUUCUGAUAUUCCUAGUUGUGUCACAAGUUUAUGAACUUCUCUUUUUCCUUUUUGUGCUAGUUGGAGGGGACAUUUUGUUUCCUUACAUUUCCCAAUUAAUUGUCUGAAAGUAAAAUUUUUAUUAAAUGCCUUCCACUUUGUUCUUCUCAUAAAACCUAAUGCUGUACCAUAGACUUGUCAGCAUAAUUCACCAUAUGUGGAAAGGUGGAGGGGGCAUUGGUAGAGUGGAUCGUCAGCUUGGCCACUAAUUAUGCAAUGAUCAUUAGGGUUGACUCUUGGUUUUUAGAUGUGGCCUUUUGCGGCGACCUGGGAACUGCAUGUUAGGAUCUUGAUGGCAUGUGGUGCUCAAAUGCCUGCAACUUUGCGGUUUGAGACUGGAUGACAGUAGAUGGAUGAGUUGCAAUCUAAAAGCUGGAUCACCAAGAACUAAAUGCUAUUGGUACCAACCAUUGCAAAUCAGCAGUGUUACAUUCAAAAAACUACAACAUAACCUGUGCUCUGAGUUCUGGGUUGAUCUUAUCCUUCUCGUUAGGAUUUCUCUUAUUAUCCUAUAUUGGAUUGGCUAUAUCUUCCCUGUAAUUGGUUCAAGAUAUCAUGUACUGCUGACAGUAGAAUUUUUAACACUUAUUGAGACUAGACGUAUGAUACUGGGUUCAAUUGCUUUUCCACUUGGAUGCUGCUGAAGAUUUGUGGUGGAUUUAUUUCUUCGUUUUGGUUAUGGUAACUUUAAUGUGGAAUAUUGGGCUCGUGGAUCAUUGUGGAUAUUGAAUUGUUUUGUUCAUUAAAAAAUUUUGCAGAUCCUAUUCAAGAUCCAGAUCUCCAUAUUCAUCCCCUCCACCUCACCAGAGUCGCAGUUCUAGCUAAAGUCCAACGAGCCCAUCAUAAUCUCGUUUGGCCUGAGUGAGAUCUGAAUGCAGCCAAAUUGUUGACUCUAGAGAUCGCUACUGGGCAUGCAUUUUAUGUGCUGGAUUUUAAUUUAAGUUGAACAUUAGCCCAUUUAAGGUCCAAUUUAGCUAUGCUGCUACCUAUAGUGGAUUUUAAAUUGAUAGAUGAAGCCGUGAAUCAAACCUGUUGUGCAUUUAAAAUUUUAUGUGGAUAUUGGGAACCAGAAUUGAAAUGUAUCUGUGUGGAUAUUGGGAACCAGAACUGAAAUGUAUCUGUAUCAUCAACUCUGGCUGGGCUACAUUCCAACUUAGUCAGAGCGUUUAGUUGUCUAACCCUAUGAUAUUGGAUUGCUUAAUUAUCGCAUUCUCGUGGGAUUUAAUGCUC